UAUCAACAUGGUCACUGAAAGCCAGUGUGAGGUAGCCUGAUACAUUUUUUUUAAAUUGUUAAUAUCAAUUUAAAUGAGUCAUUAGACCUCUGAGAGUAAUAAUUUCCUCAUAGCCAUAAAGUAACUCUGAUGAUAAUUAAACAGCGUAAACUGUGGAAAACUGGAGAUGCACACACAGGCCAAGGUGGGAAGCCACUACUUAGGUCCAGGUCAUUUCACCUCCAUGUUCUCCCAAUAUAACCCACUCUAAAAUCUGGCCAAUGCCCCAUUCACAUUCAGAAGCAAUCGUUUACACUGUUAGCUUUCACAUGUCCCAUCUC
Molecule: long non-coding RNA, 320 nt
Filed under: Bos taurus (domestic cattle)
Lineage: Eukaryota; Metazoa; Chordata; Mammalia; Artiodactyla; Bovidae
Description: long non-coding RNA NONBTAT010904
Source: RNAcentral